UGGCUCUGGCAUCGAUGAAGAACGCAGCGAAAUGCGAUAAGUAAUGUGAAUUGCAGAAUUCAGUGAAUCAUCGAAUCUUUGAACGCACAUUGCGCCCGUCAGUAUUCUGACGGGCAUGCCUGUUCGAGCGUCAUCUCAACCCUCAAGCCCGGCUUGGUGUUGGGGAUCGGCCCCCCCGCCGUCCCCCAAAUCUAGUGGCGGCCACGCCGUAGCUCCCUCUGCGUAGUAGCACACCUCGCACCGGGACGCGGCGCGGCCACGCCGUUAAACCCCCCCCUUCUGAAGGUUGACCUCGGAUCAGGUAGGAAUACCCGCUGA
Molecule: unclassified non-coding RNA, 318 nt
Filed under: uncultured fungus
Lineage: Eukaryota; Fungi
Description: partial contains 5.8S ribosomal RNA and internal transcribed spacer 2
Rfam family: 5.8S ribosomal RNA (bases 1-133)
Source: RNAcentral